This 253-nucleotide ribosomal RNA is filed under the name uncultured bacterium. RNAcentral's name for it is "partial 16S ribosomal RNA". It matches the Rfam family "Bacterial small subunit ribosomal RNA", at positions 524 to 776 of the family's 1533-position model. The record is from RNAcentral.
GACGUAGGGCGCGAGCGUUGUCCGGAAUUACUGGGCGUAAAGGGCUCGUAGGUGGCCAACUAAGUCAGACGUGAAAUCCCUCAGCUUAACUGGGGAACUGCGUCUGAUACUGGAUGGCUUGAGUUUGGGAGAGGGAUGCGGAAUUCCAGGUGUAGCGGUGAAAUGCGUAGAUAUCUGGAGGAACACCGGUGGCGAAGGCGGCAUCCUGGACCAACACUGACACUGAGGAGCGAAAGCCAGGGGAGCAAACGGG